RNAcentral lists this ribosomal RNA (406 nucleotides) under uncultured bacterium. Its description in RNAcentral is "partial 16S ribosomal RNA". It matches the Rfam family "Bacterial small subunit ribosomal RNA", at positions 30 to 526 of the family's 1533-position model. The record is from RNAcentral.
AUUGAACGCUGGCGGCAGGCUUAACACAUGCAAGUCGAGCGAGCGGCGGACGGGUGAGUAAUGUCUGGGAAACUGCCUGCUGGAGGGGGAUAACUUCUGGAAACGGUAGCUAAUACCGCAUUACAUCAGGUGAGUCCAGAUGGGAUUAGCUAGUAGGUGGUGUAAUGGCUCACCUAGGCGACGAUCCCUAGCUGGUAUGAGAGGAUGACCAGCCACACUGGAACUGAGAGACGGUCCAGACUCCUACGGGAGGCAGCAGUGGGGAAUAUUGCACAAUGGGCGCAAUCCUGAUGCAGCCAUGCCGCGUGUGUGAAGAAGGCCUUCGGGUUGUAAAGCACUUUCAGCGAGGAGGCGUUACUCGCAGAAGAAGCACCGGCUAACUCCGUGCCAGCAGCCGCGGUAAUAC